This is a long non-coding RNA of Epinephelus moara (kelp grouper), 1350 nucleotides long. RefSeq lists it as uncharacterized. The record is from RefSeq and is a predicted model, not a curated record. Lineage: Eukaryota; Metazoa; Chordata; Actinopteri; Perciformes; Serranidae. The transcript is spliced from 3 exons.
ACAUUAUUUUUGGUGCCUAACUGUUUCCCAAGUAUAUUAGUGCGUGUGUGAAUGAAUCAACGAGAGGCAUUCACGUAAAUUUCUUUGUAGAAAGGUGCUUUAUGAAAUUAAGUCCAUUUACUUGUAUUAGUUUACAGCGCAGCCUUGCCACAUCCAAUAUGGCGGCGACGUUGACAUAUCGCAGCAGCGGGCAUACCCACUCAAUGCGGCGUCUACGUAUAUAUGUCUAUGGGUGUCAAUCUUAUGUUUUGAUGCUUAUAGGAGGAGAUAAGAGCGGCCUCCUCCAAUACGAAAAAGGCUCUCGUUUUUCUUGAAAUCUGAUUGGCUCAGCCACAGUCAUCAGUCAUUACUCAUGGCAGACCAGGCUAGUUUGACUGUUAGACAGAAAACAUGGAUAAAGCCGGUAAAAAAGUGGCAUGGAAAAAACUUGAAUAAAAAAAACUUAAAUCUUUACAAGAAGAGGCGGCAAAGUGCUCCAAAAUAACCGACCUGUUUGGCCGCGGCAUUGGUUGACGGGCCGAGGCUGCUGGUGUUGCUAACGACGGAGAUGGAACUGGAGGCGACAGUGCCAUUAUAGCAGGUGGUGCUCCCAGUCCCAAGGACAAUGAAGCUGAGGGACAGACUAACCCCAGUCGUGAUCAGGGCUACCAACUCUCAUGCAUUGGCUGUGAGACACACGCAUUUGAUUGGCUUCACACGCUCUCACACCACACCCCCGAUUUCUCACACUGAAGUGUCCGUCUGAGCCAAGUACCUGUUUUGCGCAAUACACCUCCCGACCGCUAUACUGGAUGUUUGUGGCGCUGUGGCCCAGUUGACACCGGGAUUGCACUCAUUGGGGUAACAAAGAAGUGAGCGUACGGCCUGCCGGAAUUCUAUUUGAAGAAGAAGAGGCAGCAGAGAGCCGUCGAUUUCCCCCGUUCUUGUCAGGUGACAGGGUUAAGUCUGUUCAUGAGGCUUGCCACCAUUGCAAAGCUGGUCCUGGUGUUACCCCACUCCAAUGCAGAUGCAGAAAGAGUGUUUUCUGUGAUGGGACUAAACAAGACUAAAACCAGGAACAGCCUGGCUCUGGAUGGAACCCUGUCAUCAAUAAUGACAAUAAAGCAAUUGACAAUUCAGACACUGACGUGCUGACGUAUUGCGGUAAGCGAGUUGUGUCAUUUCCGGUGUUUCUGUGAUAGCGUCUCUGUACUGCUCUGGUGAAUUCUGCUAGCCUGUUUUCUCACUACAGUUGCUUUAACGUCUACUUCAAGUCUUAACCCACACUGGUUCUGUUUAAGCACUUAUAGCUCUCCUCCUUUCUACGACUUUCUCGCUAAUCUCUUAGCUGUUGUUUGCACGUUACUAGCC